AGAGUUUGAUCCUGGCUCAGGACGAACGCUGGCGGCGUGGAUUAGGCAUGCAAGUUGAGCGACGGUUAUCCUUCGGGAUAAUACGGAGCAGCGAACGGGUGAGUAACACGUGAAACAAUCUGUCCUUACAUUCCGGAUAAUUGGGGAGAAAUCCCUUUGUAAUACGGGGGGAGGGUCUUCUGGGGGGCAUUCCCCAGGAGAAGGAAGGCGCAAGCCGUGCAAGGAGGGAGUUCGCGGCCUAUCAGGUAGUUGGUGAGGUAAUGGCUCACCAAGCCCGACGACGGGUAGCUGGUCUGAGAGGGAUGGUCAGCCACAUUGGAACUGAGACACUGUCCCAGACUCCUACGGGAGGCUGCAGUCGAGAAUCUUGGGCAAUGCACGAAAGUGUGACCCAGCGACGCCGCGUGAAGGAUGAAGGCCUCUGGGUCGUAAACUUCUUUUUAUGGGGGAAAGAAAAGCUCGCAAGAGCCUUGACACCCCAUGAAUAAGCCACGGCUAACUACGUGCCAGCAGCCGCGGUAAUACGUAGGUGGCAAGCGUUGUCCGGAUUUACUGGGCGUAAAGCGUACGCAGGCGGAUGGUUAAGUAGGAAGUGAAAGGUUGGAGCUCAACUCCGACACUGCUCCCUAUACUGGCCGUCUGAGUAGCGGAGAGGAAGAUGGAACAAGUUGUGUAGCGGUGAAAUGCGUUGAUAUAACUUGGAACACCAAUGGCGAAAGCAUCUUCUGGACGCAAACUGACGCUCAUGUACGAAAGNNAAGGUAGCAAACAGGAUUAGAUACCCNNGUAGUCC
Molecule: ribosomal RNA, 793 nt
Filed under: uncultured bacterium
Lineage: Bacteria
Description: bacterial SSU rRNA
Rfam family: Bacterial small subunit ribosomal RNA
Source: RNAcentral